RNAcentral lists this ribosomal RNA (585 nucleotides) under uncultured fungus. RNAcentral describes it as "eukaryotic LSU rRNA". It matches the Rfam family "Eukaryotic large subunit ribosomal RNA", at positions 40 to 647 of the family's 3401-position model. Lineage: Eukaryota; Fungi. The record is from RNAcentral.
AUAUCAAUAAGCGGAGGAAAAGAAACCAACAGGGAUUGCCCCAGUAACGGCGAGUGAAGCGGCAACAGCUCAAAUUUGAAAUCUGGCCCUUUCGGGUCCGAGUUGUAAUUUGUAGAGGAUGCUUUUGGCAAGGCGCCGCCCGAGUUCCCUGGAACGGGACGCCACAGAGGGUGAGAGCCCCGUCUGGCUGGCCGCCGAGCCUCUGUAAAGCUCCUUCGACGAGUCGAGUAGUUUGGGAAUGCUGCUCAAAAUGGGAGGUAUAUGUCUUCUAAAGCUAAAUAUUGGCCAGAGACCGAUAGCGCACAAGUAGAGUGAUCGAAAGAUGAAAAGCACCUUGAAAAGAGGGUUAAAUAGUACGUGAAAUUGUUGAAAGGGAAGCGCUUGUGACCAGACUUGGGCGCGGCGGAUCAUCCGGGGUUCUCCCCGGUGCACUUCGCCGCGUCCAGGCCAGCAUCAGUUCGUCGCGGGGGAAAAAGGCUUCGGGAACGUGGCUCCCCUGGGAGUGUUAUAGCCCGUUGCGUAAUACCCUGCGGUGGACUGAGGACCGCGCAUCUGCAAGGAUGCUGGCGUAAUGGUCACCAGCGA